AAAUAGGUUUUCUAGGGUUCCGCGUAUUAAACGGACUGGUCCGAGAGAAAACCCGCAAGAAGUUUUUUGCGUCACGGAAGGAUAAAAGCCUGGGAGAA
This 98-nucleotide small RNA is filed under the name Bacillus sp. (in: firmicutes). RNAcentral's name for it is "Bacillus sp. Guanidine-I sequence". It matches the Rfam family "Guanidine-I riboswitch aptamer". Rfam says of the family: This family represents a conserved RNA structure found upstream of the ykkC and yxkD genes in Bacillus subtilis and related genes in other bacteria. The function of this family is unclear although it has been suggested that it may function to switch on efflux pumps and detoxification systems in response to harmful environmental molecules. The record is from RNAcentral. Lineage: Bacteria; Bacillati; Bacillota; Bacilli; Caryophanales; Bacillaceae. RNAcentral also lists the same sequence under 1 other name.